This 492-nucleotide ribosomal RNA is filed under the name uncultured bacterium. Its description in RNAcentral is "partial 16S ribosomal RNA". It matches the Rfam family "Bacterial small subunit ribosomal RNA", at positions 29 to 507 of the family's 1533-position model. The record is from RNAcentral.
AGUGAACGCUGGCGGUAGGCCUAACACAUGCAAGUCGAACGGCAGCACAGUAAGAGCUUGCUCUUACGGGUGGCGAGUGGCGGACGGGUGAGGAAUACAUCGGAAUCUACUUUUUCGUGGGGGAUAACGUAGGGAAACUUACGCCAAUACCGCAUACGACCUACGGGUGAAAGCAGGGGAUCUUCGGACCUUGCGCGAUUGUAUGAGCCGAUGUCGGAUUAGCUAGUUGGCGGGGUAAAGGCCCACCAAGGCGACGAUCCGUAGCUGGUCUGAGAGGAUGAUCAGCCACACUGGAACUGAGACACGGUCCAGACUCCUACGGGAGGCAGCAGUGGGGAAUAUUGGACAAUGGGCGCAAGCCUGAUCCAGCCAUACCGCGUGGGUGAAGAAGGCCUUCGGGUUGUAAAGCCCUUUUGUUGGGAAAGAAAAGCAGCAGGUUAAUACCCCGCUGUUCUGACGGUACCCAAAGAAUAAGCACCGGCUAACUUCGUG